Molecule: long non-coding RNA, 733 nt
Organism: Bubalus bubalis (water buffalo)
Lineage: Eukaryota; Metazoa; Chordata; Mammalia; Artiodactyla; Bovidae
Exons: 3
Source: RefSeq, a predicted model, not a curated record
UUAAACAGCCCUCGGAGAUGAGGGGAACGUAUCGCUGCCGGCGCCUCACUUGCAGAUGCUCAGAAGACCUUUGGCCUCCCCCGCCCCUACCGGCUGCUCCCCGCUGCAGCUGAGCGGCUUUUGGGGAGCAGUGAAGAAGCCCUGAUGAGGAACCUCAGAUUCAGACAGGAAGCCACCUGCCUGGUUUUCAUAGGGAAAGGGAAGAAUUUCAACCCACUGAGACCUAUGACCAGAGAGUCUCCCUUUUCCAUUUGGUUGGAAGUAAAGGGAACUUGCCAAAAUUAAAGAAGUCGAGACAAAGCAACCCAAGUGUGUCCAUCAGCAAAUGAAUAAACAAAAUGUGAGCCAUGCAUACAAAGGAAUAUUACUCAACCUUGAAAGGGAAUGAAAUCCUGACACACGCUACAUACAGAAGAACCUUAAAGACAUGACGCCAAAUGAAAUAAACCAGACACCAAAGGACAAAUAUGGUGUGAUUUCACACACAGGAAGUGCCAAGGUUAUUCAAGUUCAUGGAGAAGUGAAGUAAAAUGGUGGUUGCCAGGGGCUGGGGCGGUGGGGGAAUGGAGAGUUGUUUAAAACUACAGAGACUCAGUUUGGGAAAAUGGAAACAUUUUGAACAUGGAUGGUGGUGAUGGUUCCAUUGACCAUGUGAAUGUACAUAAUGUCACUGAACUAUACACUUGAAAAUGGCUUAAGUGGUACAUUUUAUGUUAUGUAUGCUUUAUCACAA